This 301-nucleotide ribosomal RNA is filed under the name uncultured bacterium. RNAcentral's name for it is "partial 16S ribosomal RNA". It matches the Rfam family "Bacterial small subunit ribosomal RNA", at positions 509 to 807 of the family's 1533-position model. The record is from RNAcentral.
CAGUAGCCGCGGUAAUACAGAGGGUGCAAGCGUUAAUCGGAAUUACUGGGCGUAAAGCGCGCGUAGGUGGUUUGUUAAGUUGGAUGUGAAAUCCCCGGGCUCAACCUGGGAACUGCAUCCAAAACUGGCAGGCUAGAGUAGGGCAGAGGGUGGUGGAAUUUCCUGUGUAGCGGUGAAAUGCGUAGAUAUUCGGAAGAACACCAGUGGCGAAGGCGGCUUACUGGCUCAUACUGGACGCUGAGGUGCGAAAGCGUGGGGAGCAAACAGGAUUAGAUACCCGGGUAGUCCCUGUCUCUUAUAC